CUCUAAGCACUCAGUGCGGCUGCGCGCGAAGAGUCUCGACCGUCGGAUCUGCGUUCAGUCCUCGGUGUGAGGUGAAAAUAAGCAGCGAGAGAGGGGACCAGAUGAAGUGGAUCAGACAGCCGUGCCCUCUGAAGUAGACUGUGCCACACUUCCAAGUACACCCUGCAUAAUUGUGUGUGGAAGUUCCCCUUUGACUGCAGAGAACUUUGUUUUCUGUCGACCAAGUCAUAGUUAACAGCCACAUCACCAUCUUCUGCGAUGCUCUGAAGUUGAUGUUUGCCUCAUACUACUGCUUGAAUAUUUCAUACCCAGGAGACCAAGGAGCAACGCUAGAGUUCGUGCAAAGUACAGAAACUCAAGAGGAUCAAACGUGUCUCCAAUAUCAGACGGAAAACUCCCCGGG
RNAcentral lists this long non-coding RNA (403 nucleotides) under Sinocyclocheilus grahami. RNAcentral's name for it is "lncRNA (ENSSGRG00000011889.1)". The record is from RNAcentral. Lineage: Eukaryota; Metazoa; Chordata; Actinopteri; Cypriniformes; Cyprinidae.